CCUACGGGGGGCAGCAGUGAGGAAUAUUGGUCAAUGGCCGUAAGGCUGAACCAGCCAAGUAGCGUGAGGGAAGACUGCCCUAUGGGUUGUAAACCUCUUUUAUGCGGGGAUAAAGGUGUCCACGUGUGGAUGUUUGCAGGUACAGCAUGAAUAAGGACCGGCUAAUUCCGUUCCAGCAGCCGCGGUAAUACGGAAGGACCGGGCGUUAUCCGGAUUUAUUGGGUGUAAGGGGAGCGUAGGCCGGUACUUAAGCGUGCCGUGAAAGUUGUUGGCUCAACCAUGAGAGUGCGGCGCGAACUGGAGACCUUGAGUGUGCGGAAGGCAGGCGGAAUGCGUGGUGUAGCGGUGAAAUGCUUAGAUAUCACGAAGAACCCCGAUUGCGAAGGCAGCCUGCCGCAGCGUUACUGACGCUGAAGCUCGAAAGCGCGGGUAUCGAACAGGAUUAGAUACCCUUGUAGUC
This 460-nucleotide ribosomal RNA is filed under the name uncultured bacterium. RNAcentral describes it as "partial 16S ribosomal RNA". It matches the Rfam family "Bacterial small subunit ribosomal RNA", at positions 338 to 795 of the family's 1533-position model. The record is from RNAcentral.